This 1348-nucleotide ribosomal RNA is filed under the name metagenome. RNAcentral describes it as "bacterial LSU rRNA". It matches the Rfam family "Bacterial large subunit ribosomal RNA", at positions 1546 to 2925 of the family's 2925-position model. The record is from RNAcentral.
GCUGGAAGUGACGAAGGCCGUAAAUUGUUCCUGCUUAUUGGAUUGCAGGGGCUGUGAAGGACUUCCUGGAAAUAACUCCAGCUUAUAGACCGUACCCCAAACCGACACAGGUGGGCUGGUAGAGUAUACCAAGGCGCUUGAGAGAAUGAUGUUGAAGGAACUCGGCAAAUUGCCCUCGUAACUUCGGAAGAAGAGGGCCCCAUUGAUGGGCAACCAUUGGUGGGGGGCACAGACCAGGGGGUGGCGACUGUUUAACAAAAACACAGGGCUCUGCGAAGUCUGUAAGACGACGUAUAGGGUCUGACGCCUGCCCGGUGCCGGAAGGUUAAGAGGAGGGGUGCAAGCUCUGAAUCGAAGCCCCGGUAAACGGCGGCCGUAACAAUAACGGUCCUAAGGUAGCGAAAUUCCUUGUCGGGUAAGUUCCGACCUGCACGAAUGGCGUAACGACUUCCCCGCUGUCUCCAACAUCAGCUCAGCGAAAUUGAAUUCCCCGUGAAGAUGCGGGGUACCCGCGGUCAGACGGAAAGACCCCAUGCACCUUUACUAUAGCUUUGCAGUGGUAUUAGGGAAUGAAUGUGUAGGAUAGGUGGGAGCCUAUGAAGCGCCGGCGCUAGUCGGUGUGGAGGCAACGUUGAAAUACCACCCUUUUGUUCUCUGAUAUCUAACCGCGCCCCGUGAAGCUGGGGCCGGGACCCUGCAUGGUGGGUAGUUUGACUGGGGCGGUCGCCUCCCAAAGAGUAACGGAGGCGCGCGAUGGUAGGCUCAAGCUGGUCGGAAAUCAGCUGUUGAGUGCAAUGGCAUAAGCCUGCCUGACUGCGAGACUGACAAGUCGAGCAGAGACGAAAGUCGGUCAUAGUGAUCCGGUGGUUCCACGUGGACGGGCCAUCGCUCAACGGAUAAAAGGUACGCUGGGGAUAACAGGCUGAUCUCCCCCAAGAGUCCAUAUCGACGGGGAGGUUUGGCACCUCGAUGUCGGCUCAUCACAUCCUGGGGCUGGAGCAGGUCCCAAGGGUAUGGCUGUUCGCCAUUUAAAGUGGUACGUGAGCUGGGUUCAGAACGUCGUGAGACAGUUCGGUCCCUAUCUGCCGUGGGUGUUGGAGUAUUGAGAGGAUUUGCCCCUAGUACGAGAGGACCGGGGUGAACGCACCUCUGGUGUACCGGUUGUCGCGCCAGCGGCAUCGCCGGGUAGCUAUGUGCGGACGGGAUAACCGCUGAAAGCAUCUAAGCGGGAAACCCACCUCAAAACUAGUACUCCCUAUGAGAGCCGUGAGAGACCAUCACGUUGAUAGGCCAGAUGUGGAAGCGCAGUAAUGCGUGCAGCUAACUGGUACUAAUUGCUCCAUUGGCC